Long non-coding RNA from Macadamia integrifolia, 614 nucleotides. RefSeq lists it as uncharacterized. The record is from RefSeq and is a predicted model, not a curated record. Lineage: Eukaryota; Viridiplantae; Streptophyta; Magnoliopsida; Proteales; Proteaceae. The transcript is spliced from 2 exons.
UUCGGAUUCGGUCAGAAUUUUUGAUAAAAUUCGGAAAAAUUCGGUUCGGCCGAAUAAUUCGCAUUAUUCGGCCGAAUUGAUAACACUGAUCCAAACACAACCAUUCUUGUCGUAGCUUCGUUGAUGAGAUUGAUGAAAGGGUUUCUGGCCCCAUUUACAUUGUUACUAAUUAAUUGCUUUUUUAGAACAGGUAAUCAAAGGACUUGAUGAAGGGAUCCUAACCAUGAAAAUUGGAGGGACACGUAGGCUCUACAUUCCGGGAUCUUUGGCAUUCCCAAAAGGGCUUAAUUCAGCUCCAGGAAGACCAAGGGUUUCUCCAAAUAGUCCAGUUGUUUUUGAUGUAAGUUUGGAAUAUAUACCAGGUCUUGAAGUGGUCGAAGAGUAAGGUGAUUUGCUUCUCCAUUUUACUUUCUUGGCCUUCACCCGCUUCUCUGCUUACUGGAGCUUGAUCAUAAGACUUCCAAUUAUUCUUUUAUGGUGUAUUUUUUGUGAGUGGGACUGUUUCCUUCUUGCUUGUACUUAAGGGUUGGAUGUAAGGUUCGGUUCCCUCUCUAAUUGUACUUGGUUUUAUUUUUCCAAUAAAAUUUAAUGAGCCAUUAAGGUCCUUGAUAUUA